UGAAACACCCUGGGAAGUGCAGUUCCCAAGACACAGCUCCAGUCUAGCAUUGCAAGGGGCACAGCAAAAUUCCACAUAUGACAUUACCAACGUGCCCUAAACUCCGACCCAGAGGGACCAUCUUUAGGGUUGAGAGAGCACUUCAGCCUCCGUUCCUCUACAGACCUU
This 168-nucleotide small RNA is filed under the name Manacus vitellinus (golden-collared manakin). RNAcentral describes it as "TUC338 (ENSMVIG00005002090.1)". Lineage: Eukaryota; Metazoa; Chordata; Aves; Passeriformes; Pipridae. The record is from RNAcentral.